UUGUCAUGAAAAACUGUCUUAUAAACUAUCGUGUAUCGGUUCACAAAAUAUGUACCCUCUAUGAAUCCUCCAUGAAUAUAAUUCUUAUGCAUAUUGUUCACUAUACAUAUAAAAAGUCUUAACAGUUUUAAAAUUGGCUUUACCACUUUGUAUUGUUUGGUUUCAUCAGCUCUUAAAUGUUUGCAUAAGGAUUAAGAGUAUUAACCUUUUUUGCGGCUAGAUGCCCAUCUAGUACAGUUGAUUCGGUACCGCUUUGGACGCACACAAUAUAAUACAAGUGUUGUUCCAAUUGAACAUUCAGCAUUAUUUGUGUUCUGUGUAUGAUAAAUCAAUAAUACCGACCGUUAGAAAACCAUUUCUUGGCUGUACUGGUAAUAUUAUCGAUCCCGGUUAUCGAUUUUUAUUUAAAUUGAUAAAAGUAAUAAAAAAAGAGCUAUACUCAAUAUUGCAUGAAGACUAGUUUAUUACUUUGUUUACGACCCCAAUCGUAUGUGUCAUAAUUAGUAGGGUGUCCAAUCAACAAAUUUGAUUAAUUCGUCUUAACGGAAUAACACACGGCUAUAUUUUGGUUUUAUAUCAUUGGAAAGAAGAGAACACGCCUCAUCGAAAUUCCGUUGUCGUCGUUGUCUGCCAUGGUCACGUUUUUUGACAUUUUUUAAAAAGCAGGGCUGGUUUUUUUGGGUUUUUUUUUUUUUGGCAUAUCUGUCCCCACUAUAUAGAUUAUUUAUAUGUUUCCCACGAUUUGAAAAUUGAGUAAAUGUUUUUUUUUUUAAUGUUUUGAAAAUACUAUGGACUGCUUAAUUUUUCAUUCGAUUGCUAAUAAUGAUUAAUAAGGUACAAACAGAAAAAUAAAAUCUUAUACAUCGUCAUCUUCGUCGACAUCAAUGCCAUCUAAAUGCAACCAGACGAGUAUUUACAUUUUGGCAUAUAUCAUUUAUCUGACAUGGGGAUAAAUCUGUACGUGAUAGAUUUUGUUCGAAGCAAAUGCAACCAUAAGAAAACACAAAUUUCCCCUGACAAAAAAAAGACUAAAUCUUGCAGGAAUUCAUACGACAUCAGACCUUCGAGAUAGACAGGAACAAGUCAUUCUUCUUUUCCCAUCUGAACUGUAGAGGAGAAUGUUAGGGUAGAUUUUCUAUAUGGAAAGACAUCAAUUGUUUGUCUGGAGUGAAGCUCUUAAUAUUACAUGUUGUUUAAAAGUAGAUUCUUAAGGAGGAAGUUUGACAAGGGAAAAAUUCUAUAUUGUAGCCAAUUUUACGCUCAAUUUGUUUAGGUCACUAUGAUCUAUAUUGAGUUUUGACUUGACAUCAUUUAACCUAACAUUAAGUUCUCGAGCUGCAUCUAUAGAUUC
RNAcentral lists this long non-coding RNA (1351 nucleotides) under Mytilus galloprovincialis (Mediterranean mussel). Lineage: Eukaryota; Metazoa; Mollusca; Bivalvia; Mytilida; Mytilidae. The record is from RNAcentral.